RNAcentral lists this transfer RNA (70 nucleotides) under Cordylochernes scorpioides. RNAcentral describes it as "tRNA-Gly". Lineage: Eukaryota; Metazoa; Arthropoda; Arachnida; Pseudoscorpiones; Chernetidae. The record is from RNAcentral.
AUGCAUCGGCCGGGAAUCGAACCCGGGGCGCCCGCGUGGCAGGCGAGCAUUCUACCAAUAUUAUGAUGCA